Molecule: long non-coding RNA, 2801 nt
Organism: Mustela lutreola (European mink)
Lineage: Eukaryota; Metazoa; Chordata; Mammalia; Carnivora; Mustelidae
Exons: 6
Source: RefSeq, a predicted model, not a curated record
CUGGCGCAUCUUAUUCAGUGUCCAUCGUGGAUGGCCCACGGGCCCAGCAUCACAUCCCCACAGCCUUGCUUCGUGCAGCCCCCUGGGAAGCCACCCUAUCCAGCCAUGCUUGAAGUCACCAGGCCUUGGUAUACUAUCCACUCUCAGGCACUGGCCUCCAGCCCCUCUGUCCUUUCAGUUGGAACACCCUAGGACUUUAUCUUCCACUCUGUGGGGUCUCAACACACAGGGCCCUGAGAGGGAUUCUCUCUAUCCAGCCCCAGCCUCACAUACAGUCUGGUAUUCUUGGUUCAAAGACCAAGAACACUGGAAUCAGACAGUCCAUUAGGAGUCACCGAGGUCAGCCUCUCAGUGCAUAUGUGACACUGCUGAGGCCCAAAGAGGGGAAAGAAUUGGCAGGAAUUAGCUGGAGGAACCAGGACUAAACUGGAGUCACCUGAUUCCUGGUCCAGUGCCCUUCCACAAUGCCAACAUCUGGAGAAGCGUUCUAAUAUGAAGCCCUCCCUUCCCCCAGUGCUGCCUCCUCCAGGAAGAUUUUCUGAACUACCUCAACCCACAGGGUACAGUGUGACCAUCUGUGCACUUGUUUCUGCGCAAGCCAUUUGCCCUUCACUAGCUGAGGUUCCUCCGCCUCUGACAGUCCAUGGCUAGGGCCCUGGGGUGGGCUGGGUGGACACUCAGAUCUAGGGACAGACUCACCUUUGCAGGCCUGGCAACAGGAGGCGGGCAGUGGUAGAGGUGCAGGGCAGCCUGGUUCUGGGCAGGUCAUGAGACCACAGUAGAUCUGGCCUUCCUGACAGAGCAAAGGGGAGAUGAGCUCCAAUGAGGAAUAGCCUCAGGGUUAGGAGAGACCCUGCCCUGGGGGCAAAUGGCCUUGAGGUGUCCUUUGAAGUGGGUGAAGAAAGGAGCAGCAGAGCCUCCUGGGCAAGGCCCAGCCAGCUCAGAGGAGGGUCCCCUGUACCCUCCCCAGAUGGUCCCCGGCCCUGAGGUAACAUUCAUCCUUCAGCUUCUAAAGGGUUUUCAGAUCCUGUCUCUCCCACAGCUCUUACAGCAACCUGGUGAGGUGGGAUUCUUCCAUCCUACAGAUAAGGAGGGCCCGAAGAGGGGCCCGAACUGCCUGAAACCAGAAAUCAGAGACGCAGCCCAGAAGAGCCCAGCCUGUUGACUUUCUGCUGAAGUCAACACCCUCCUCCCCCGACCUGGGACAGGGGAUCCAGAGAGAGGAGGGAGAUCCAUGGGACACCCGUCGAGCUGAUCUUGCUCUUACUGAAAACCCUAGGUUCCCAGCUUCAGGACCCAGCCUGGAGAGGCAACACUGCUGAGGAAAAGGCCUUCUGGGAAUCCUUUGGAAGCAGCACAAUACAGGGAAGAAGGGAAUGUGAAUUUUGGAGUCUUGCGGCCCACCUCUGAACUCUGGCUCUGCCACUUAACUAACUGUGUGACCUUAGGCAAGUUACUUAACUGAUCUGUACCUCAGUUUCCACAUCUGAAAAAUAAGAAAGGUGAUUGCCCGCUCCUAGGGCCUUGGGGUGCUGUAUGGAAGUACAAGGCAUCUCCACGAACGAACAGCAGUUAUUAUAGACAUCUGUGUGCCAGGCCCUGAGCCGGUAGCAGCAGAAGAUACAAAAAUGAACUGGGCAUGGUCCCUCCAUUCGAGGAGUGCAGUCUAGCGGGGAACACAGAGAUGGGCAAAUGUGAGUAUACAAGGUCUCACCAUCUGCAUCUGAACUCACAAACCAUACACCAUGUACAAAAAGGUCAGGUGCCUGGGCAGAUGUGGAAACAGUCCUAGAAGAGGGUCAGGAGUCGCCUAAGACAUUGAUUUAUGCCAGCACAAACUCCAAUGGCAGUCUUUGGAUCUUUGGGGGGCUGCUUAUGGGAUUAUCUUUUCCCUAAAGGGGCAGGACUGGAAGAAAAGCCUUUAAAUUGCAAACGGAAGGAUCCAGAUGCAGCCAGGGCAACAAUGCCUGGAGAAAAGCCUUGGGGUCUAAGAAGGCUGUGCCAAGAGGAAGGGAGGCAGGUGUGGAGGGCAUUCUGUGGUAAGUCCCUUUCAAGAAACAACGGGUAAGUGUUAGGAGGAAACCUUCAGGGCCCAAGGAAGGGGAGGAGACAUUUACUGAGUACUAGGCAUUGUGCUGGCUAAUUUAACACAGUCACCUCCUUGAAUCCUCCCAAGAACCCUUUGGGUUCCAGGUGCAUCUGUGUCUCAGAUGAAGAAAUUGAGGCUCAGAGAAGUUGUGAUGUAUGAAAAGUCACACAGCUGCUGAGGGCCAGAGGCAGGACUUGAACCCAACACUGAGUUCUUUCCAUUACUCGUUACUAAGGACUUCUAUGAGUCUCAUGCUGCUGGCAGCCCAGAGGCGACCAGACACGCAGCCUGCCCUCACAAGCAGAGACAGGAAUGAAACAGAAUCCAGCCCCGCCAGCUCCAGAAAGUCAUGUGCAAAAGAAAGGCAGCAAAAGAAAGGGGGAGGUGGGCUGUGGAGAGGACAGAGCGCUAGGCUGGAACUUGGGAAACCAGGGUCUUCAUCCCAGGCCCCGUGCUGUGUAACCUAGAGCAGACCCCUACCCCUCCUUGUCCUCCGUUUCUUUAUCAGGUAUUUUAAGAUUUGAACUUAGCUCCUUCCUUCUCAUUAAGUGAGUUUUUGGUUUUGUUUUCCAUCCUCACAGCAUUCCAAGAGACUGGGGAUGGGGAGGGCAUCCACCAGCCUUUUGCAGGGGCGGGGGAAACUGAGGUUCAGAGAGAUGAUUUAAACUGUUUGAGGUUACAGGGCGUCUAAGUGGAGGAGUGUGAAUUAGGA